Saccharomycodes ludwigii is the source of this 119-nucleotide small nucleolar RNA. The record is from RefSeq and is a predicted model, not a curated record. Lineage: Eukaryota; Fungi; Ascomycota; Saccharomycetes; Saccharomycodales; Saccharomycodaceae.
AUGUAUUAUGAUGAGAAAAAAUUUUAUAGUUAUCCCUGUCUGAAUGGGUUAAAUAGAUUUAAUUAUCAUGGUAACCAAUCCGCAUGUCGAUAAUCUUUAUGGUACUUUCUGAAAUACAU